GGCAAAGGCGCUCUUGGGGUGCAUGCCUCUGAAUCUGGACCAGGCCAUGUGACUUCCUUUGGCCAACAGAGUGAGGUGGAAGCGCCCAUGUGCCAUUUCUGAGCCCAGGCCUCCUGACACCUUGCAUGUCUCCUUUUGUACUUGUGCUUCUGCCAUUGCCAUGAUCAAGACAUUGCCCAUGUUGGCCCCGUGGUCCCAGGAGGAAGAAAAGAGAUUCAUGAAGAGCCAAAUAGCCUGCCUUAUCAAAGGCCCACCAAAACUAGCACCCAGCUGACCUCGAAUAGGACCAGGAGCUGCUUGUAUAUCAACUUGAGACACAUGACCUUGUGACCCACUGUCCAUCUACCAGUCAACCCUUGCUUCCACUUAAAGACAUAUGCACCUUUUGAUUCAUCUGUGUACGUACGUGGGGC
This is a long non-coding RNA of Suricata suricatta (meerkat), 413 nucleotides long. RefSeq lists it as uncharacterized. The transcript is spliced from 3 exons. NCBI's taxonomy places the organism in Eukaryota, Metazoa, Chordata, Mammalia, Carnivora, Herpestidae. The record is from RefSeq and is a predicted model, not a curated record.